Non-coding RNA from Theobroma umbraticum, 1744 nucleotides. The record is from RefSeq and is a predicted model, not a curated record. Lineage: Eukaryota; Viridiplantae; Streptophyta; Magnoliopsida; Malvales; Malvaceae.
GGUGCCAUACCCUUUUCACUGGUUUUGCUUACUUUUGAUAACAAAAGAGGAAAUGCAAUCUUUUGAAGAAAAUUAACUCACUCUAUAUAUCUUGAGAAGAAAGAAAGGUCUGCAAAUCUCCUAUCGGAUAUUUGCACUUCCACUUCUCCAAAUCCAAGGCAAAACAAUAAAUUGUGAAAAUUGAUUGCCACCAACCGCUGGAAAUUAACUUCAUGAGGAGGAAACAGAGAGAUGGGGAGCCGAUUCAUCAGAUGCACAAGGCAGAGAUCGGAGAAUAUGGCGAAGAAACAACAGGUUAUGGUUUCUGCAGCAUGGGGUGUCAAUGCCAGCUUCCAAUCGCUUUCUGCCCUUCUCAUUGCCAUUGUAGUCGUUGACGCUAUCUAUCUGAGACAAAGAAAUGAACAACUUUUCGAGUACGAGAUAUACAUGAAAGUUUUGGUGGCAGCUUGACGUCAAGGUGCAAUUUAUUUUCAGGGAAAUGGGUAUAUGAUAAUGAAUCUUACCCUCUAUACAAAGAGAGAGAAUGCACAUUUAUGUCUAAUCAGUUAGCUUGUGAGAAGUUCGGGAGAAAGGACCUUAACUAUCAGUUCCGGAGAUGGCAACCUCACCGGUGUGACCACCCGAGCAUUGCUAGGGCCUCUUAGGAAUAAGAGGCUUGUUUUCAUCGGGGAAUUGCUCAACAGAAACCAAUGGGUUUUCAUGGUCUGUCUGGUGGAUUCAGCCAUCCCUCCAGCCUUCAUGCAUAACAAUGGCUUAACAAACAUUUUCAAGGCCGUUUGGCUACAAUUUUACUAAUUCAUGUUAUUAAAGAAUAUAAUGCAACAAUCGAAUUCUACUGGUCUCCAUUGCUGGUGGAAUCCAACUCGAAAAAUCCAGUGAACCAUCGGGUACCAGAUCGAAUUGUCAGAGUCUAGGCGAUUGAAAAGCAUGCUAGGCAUUGGACAGAUGCAGAUAUUCUCAUUUUCAAUACCUAUCCUUGCUGAAGAAGACGCCAAAUGAGGGUCUUCCAUGAAGAUGGGAUUUAUAAAGCAGUCAUGUCACCAAGAGUGUACGAGAUGUCCAUGUCAGUGGUUGGAGGUUCACCUCAAUAGUAACACGUAGCAUGUCACCAACCUGUUAUUUCUUCGCCAGUUUAUAGUACUAUAAACUAUAUCUCCAUAGUACUAUAAACUUUCCUAUGUACAAAUCUUCUCGAAUUUCCUAAAAAAAAGUUAAUUCUUUGUAAGAAAAGAUUUUUUUUUGAAAGUAAUUUCUUUGAUCAAAAUUAAGAGUCACGUACUAAUUCAUUGAUUAGUGUACUAUCUUUUUAUUUAAAAAGUAAAAAAAAAAAUAAAGACAGGGAGCCCAUGUAAAAACAGAAUCUGGCUUAAGGUAAGGCCAGGAAACAAAACUGGCUGCAAAAAAAUGCCAGUGAAAACGUGACCUGAUGCUUCAUGAUUGUCUGCCAUUUCACUCGAGGGCUAUCGAGAUCCUGGACCCUGAACUGGCAUCGUUAACAAAACAUCCUAGGAAUAGAUGCGAAGGAGAUCACCCACUCCUUCAACCCCAUCUUUCGCAAGGUUGUCUGCCAUUUCGUUGUCAGAUCUCAUAAUGUGUCUCUCUUGCCACCCCGGUAACUUUGAUCUCAAAGCCUUGAUCUGCAACACAAUGUUCCUCAACCUCCAUGGAGCAACAGCAGGAUCAGCUACCCCUUGACCUCAUUCAUGGAGUCGCUUUCAAUGAUGACGCCAUAAUUCGAUGCCUA